CUUGGUUUAGUGUUUUGGAGUCAAAUAUGAAAAGAUGUCAUGUGUAUGAUUGAGUACAAGAACUAGAACCGCAUUCGGUUCCC
RNAcentral lists this small RNA (83 nucleotides) under Arabidopsis thaliana (thale cress). RNAcentral's name for it is "ATSL040200". The record is from RNAcentral. Lineage: Eukaryota; Viridiplantae; Streptophyta; Magnoliopsida; Brassicales; Brassicaceae.